This 72-nucleotide transfer RNA is filed under the name Cordylochernes scorpioides. Its description in RNAcentral is "tRNA-Glu". The record is from RNAcentral. Lineage: Eukaryota; Metazoa; Arthropoda; Arachnida; Pseudoscorpiones; Chernetidae.
UUCCCACGCUAGGAAUUGAACCCAGGCCUCCUGGGUGAGAGCCAGGUAUCCUAGCCACAAGACCAAGUGGGA